Molecule: transfer RNA, 58 nt
Filed under: Stegastes adustus (dusky damselfish)
Lineage: Eukaryota; Metazoa; Chordata; Actinopteri; Pomacentridae
Description: tRNA-Pro
Source: RNAcentral
UCUAGCAAUACUAGCUUUGGGAGCUAGUGGUGGGGGUUGGAAUCCCCUUUCUUUGAGC